GUGUAAAGUAUAAUCACUGAACUUUGAGGCUAAUUUUUUAUUAUAUAUAUAUUUUCAGGAAUCAUCAUCGCUUGGACUAGUAGUUUGCAGCACCUGAGUCAUAAAGGCGGUUGUAGGACGUUAUCCGUCAGAGGAAGAUGUCACUUACCUCUCAGUUUUGAAGUCAAGGCCUGCAGGACAGUUGAACUCUCUGCGUGUUACAUGCAAGUCUGUAUACACGAGUGAGUGAAUGAAGGAGGGAUGCACUGUUAAGGCAAGAUAGACAGAGAGAAAGACAUGCAGGCUCUGCGGAGGCGUUAGUGAUGGUUAACUUUUCGGUACGGCAGUCUUCUCUUGGUUCCUCUGAUCUUUUGAAGACUUUGUCAUUGUGAUCCUGGAAACGAGUGAGAAAAAACAUCAUACACCGUAGAGAGAGAGAGAGCGAGAAAAAACCUGUAUUGCUCCGACUCAGACCUCAGAGGCAGCUCUCAGUUUGACAAAGCGCCUGUCCUUGCCCCUACGUUUUUUUCACUCUCUCUUUCUUAUCCAUCUAGUAUUUGAUUGUUAAAUACUGCUAUUAAGUGCUGAAAAACUAUUCUACAACCUAUUUGUUCUAUGUUGUAUUUUAUUGUAUUUCCAUGGUCUCCUGUAUCACCUCCGGGGGCUUCAAACAGGGGUCCGUGAAGGUACUUUAUUGAGUAAGGAGAAGAUGCUGAUUAUAAUAAUAAAAAAAAGCAUAAUAAAAUGAAUACACGGUG
This 737-nucleotide long non-coding RNA is filed under the name Sinocyclocheilus anshuiensis. RNAcentral describes it as "lncRNA (ENSSANG00000027375.1)". Lineage: Eukaryota; Metazoa; Chordata; Actinopteri; Cypriniformes; Cyprinidae. The record is from RNAcentral.